AGGAGGCUCUUGGGUCGUAAACCUCUUUUCUCAGGGAAGAACACAAUGACGGUACCUGAGGAAUAAGCAUCGGCUAACUCCGUGCCAGCAGCCGCGGUAAUACGGAGGAUGCAAGCGUUAUCCGGAAUGAUUGGGCGUAAAGCGUCCGCAGGUGGCGAUGUAAGUCUGCUGUUAAAGCGUCUAGCUCAACUAGAUAAGAGCAGUGGAAACUACUUAGCUAGAGUGCGUUCGGGGCAGAGGGAAUUCCUGGUGUAGCGGUGAAAUGCGUAGAGAUCAGGAAGAACACCAGUGGCGAAGGCGCUCUGCUAGGCCGCAACUGACACUGAGGGACGAAAGCUAGGGGAGCGAAUGGGAUUAGAUA
RNAcentral lists this ribosomal RNA (361 nucleotides) under uncultured cyanobacterium. RNAcentral describes it as "bacterial SSU rRNA". It matches the Rfam family "Bacterial small subunit ribosomal RNA", at positions 409 to 784 of the family's 1533-position model. Lineage: Bacteria; Bacillati; Cyanobacteriota. The record is from RNAcentral.